UUGAAUUGAAGCCCCAGUAAACGGCGGCCGUAACUAUAACGGUCCUAAGGUAGCGAAAUUCCUUGUCGGGUAAGGUGAAAUUAUAAUACCCGUGAAGAUGCGGGUUACCCGCGACAGGACGGAAAGACCCCAUGGAGCUUUACUGCAGUUUAAUAUUGGGUAUCUGUCAAGCAUGUACAGGAUAGGUAGGAGCCGGAGAAGAUAGGACGCCAGUCUUAUCUGAGGCGCUGUUGGGAUACUACCCUUGCUUGACGGAUGCUCUAACUCAGGCCUGUGAUCCAGGCCGAGGACAGUGUUUGACGGGCAGUUUGACUGGGGCGGUCGCCUCCUAAAGUGUAACGGAGGCGCCCAAAGGUUCCCUCAGAAUGGUUGGAAAUCAUUCGCAGAG
Molecule: ribosomal RNA, 388 nt
Filed under: Lactobacillus delbrueckii subsp. bulgaricus
Lineage: Bacteria; Bacillati; Bacillota; Bacilli; Lactobacillales; Lactobacillaceae
Description: partial 23S ribosomal RNA
Rfam family: Bacterial large subunit ribosomal RNA
Source: RNAcentral